UACGUAGGGACCGAGCGUUGUCCGGAAUCAUUGGGCGUAAAGAGCGCGUAGGCGGCCCGAUAAGUCCGCUGUAAAAGUCCAGGGCUCAACCCUGGAAAGCGGGUGGAUACUGCCGGGCUAGAAUCCGGAAGAGGCGAGUGGAAUUCCUGGUGUAGCGGUGGAAUGCGCAGAUAUCGGGAGGAACACCAAUGGCGAAGGCAGCUCGCUGGGACGGUACUGACGCUGAGACGCGAAAGCGUGGGGAGCAAACAGGG
RNAcentral lists this ribosomal RNA (254 nucleotides) under uncultured bacterium. Its description in RNAcentral is "partial 16S ribosomal RNA". It matches the Rfam family "Bacterial small subunit ribosomal RNA", at positions 524 to 777 of the family's 1533-position model. The record is from RNAcentral.